UACGGAGGAUGCAAGCGUUAUCCGGAUUCAUUGGGUUUAAAGGGUGCGUAGGCGGAAUAAUUAGUCAGUGGUGAAAGCCUGCGGCUUAACCGUAGAAUUGCCAUUGAUACUGUUAUUCUUGAGUAUAGUUGAGGUGGGCGGAAUGUGUAAUGUAGCGGUGAAAUGCUUAGAUAUUACACAGAACACCAAUUGCGAAGGCAGCUCACUAAGCUGUUACUGACGCUGAGGCACGAAAGCGUGGGGAGCAAACAGGAUUAGAUACCCUGGUAGUCCACGCCGUAAACGAUGAUCACUCGUUGUUGGCGAUACACCGUCAGCGACUGAGCGAAAGCAAUAAGUGAUCCACCUGGGGAGUACGGUCGCAAGACUGAA
Molecule: ribosomal RNA, 372 nt
Filed under: uncultured bacterium
Lineage: Bacteria
Description: bacterial SSU rRNA
Rfam family: Bacterial small subunit ribosomal RNA
Source: RNAcentral